GUUAGGAAUAUUGGACAAUGGGCGCAAGCCUGAUCCAGCCAUGCCGCGUGAACGAUGAAGGCCUUCGGGUUGUAAAGUUCUUUAGCCGAUGAUUAUAAUGACUGUAGUCGGAAAAUAAGCCCCGGCUAACUUCGUGCCAGCAGCCGCGGUAAUACGAAGGGGGCGAGCGUUAUUCGGAAUCACUGGGCGUAAAGCGUGCGUAGGCGGUAUCGUAAGUUAGUAGUGAAAGCCCAGGGCUCAACCUUGGAAUUGCUCUUAAAACUGCAAGGCUAGAAUCUCGGAGAGGAUAGCUGAAUUUCCAGUGUAGCAGUGAAAUGCGUAGAUAUUGGAAGGAACACCAGUGGCGUAAGCGGCUAUCUGGACGAGUAUUGACGCUGAGGCACGAAAGCGUGGGGAUCAAACAGGAUUAGAAACCCCUGUAGUCC
This 425-nucleotide ribosomal RNA is filed under the name uncultured bacterium. Its description in RNAcentral is "partial 16S ribosomal RNA". It matches the Rfam family "Bacterial small subunit ribosomal RNA", at positions 354 to 796 of the family's 1533-position model. The record is from RNAcentral.